ACAACGGAUAAUUUUGCUCUUAUUACCUAAAUACUAUAGACUGCAUCUCCAGCCCCAUGUUGUCACAGUGUGCGUGUUUUUGAUAGGGUGGCUCCAAAGAAGUGGCAUCUUCAACUGUGGCCCUUUUGGUGGUAAGAGGCGGAAUUAAAGCUUUACGGGGGUAAUCAUCAAGGACUCAAGGAAACUCCAUUGUCUAAAUAAACUAAAAAUCAUGAUCGUGAUCAUGUAUCUUCCUUAAGAAAUGCGUUUCGUCAUCAUCGUCAACCUCAUGAGCGUCGAAAUGGGAAAAACAAAUCACAUCCC
RNAcentral lists this small RNA (303 nucleotides) under Histoplasma ohiense. RNAcentral's name for it is "hypothetical lncRNA". Lineage: Eukaryota; Fungi; Ascomycota; Eurotiomycetes; Onygenales; Ajellomycetaceae. The record is from RNAcentral.